CCACAGGGCCAACCCCUAAAGAAUUUUUUUGAGACUCUCUUAUAAGGUGAAAAAUUCUUUUAUUUUUAUUUUAUCUAAAAAUGUCUAUUUCAUCUUCAUUCUUAAAGGAUAUUUUGGCUGGGUUAGAAUUCUGGGCUGACAGUUUCUUUCAGCACUUUGAAGAUGUUGGUACCCAGGCUUCCGCCUCCAUGACUUUUGAUGAGAAGUCAGAACUCAUCUGAGCUGCUCUUCUGUUAGGUAUCAUGUGUCCUUUCUCUUCGGUUGCUUUCAAAAUGAUCUUAUUUUGGUUAUCAGUAGGUUAACUAUGAUUUGCUUAGGUGGGAUUUUCUUCAUUUUAUUCUCCUUGGAGUUUAUUGAGUUUCUUGACUUUGUAAACUUACGUUUUUUAUGAAAGUCAGGGAAAUUUUGCUCAUUAUUUUCUCUGCUUCUGUUGUCUCCUCCCGCAGCUCUAAUUACAUGCACAUCACACAAUUUGAUGUGGUCCUAUGGGUCCCCAAGGCUUUGUUUAUUUUUUUUCCUUCUUUUAUCUCUUCUUUUUCAGAUGAUAUAUUUUCUAUUUAUUUUCAAGUUGGCUGACUGUACUAUAUUCACUCUGCUGUCAAGUCCAUACAGUGAAAUUUUAAAUAUUGUAUUUUCAGUUCUAGGAUUUCUUUUUGCUUUUUAAUAUUUUCUAUUAACUUUCUGAGAUUUUGUAUUUUUUAUUCAUUAUGACCAUAGUUUCUUUUACAUCAUUGGGCACAGUUAUAAUAAUUGUUUAAAGUCCCUUCUUGCUAAUUCCAAAUUCUCAAUCAUUUUGAGGUUGGUUUCUGUUGAUUAUAGUUUCUUGUGAGAAUGGAUUACAGUUUCCUGUUUCUUGUUUGUUGAGUGAUUUUGGACUGUAUGUGGGACAGUGUUACUGUAACAUUGUGCAGGUUCUGGAUUCUGUAUACGUCUCUGAAGAGUGUUCAUUUUUCGUUCUGACAGAAUGUUAACUUGACUGGGUUCAGACAGAAAAAUUUGUCCCUUUGGAAGAUUUUCAGGUUUUAUUUCAGCUCUGUUAUUUUUAUUUUAGUUUCUAAUAAUCUGCUCCAUGUGUGCAUGAUUCAGAGGUGGGACAGAGGUUUGGACAGAGUUUAUGUGCAGAAUUUGGGGCUUCCUACUCUUUUUCUCUCCUUUUUGAGACCUCCCCCACUUGCUUUCCAGCAGUGUUGGUUACAGUGAAUUUUGUUACCUAGUUUUCAGGACAGAAAGAGCAGCUUUUCUACUGGAGUUUUAGCUAUUUGGUGGUGCCAGCUGUGGCCUGCUCUCAGGGUUAAGUCUUUAAAACAGUGAAACUCACCCUGCUCUUCCCUUCUCUCCGAAUCUCUCUGCUCUUUUACUUUCCAGUAACUUCAGGUAUUUGUUCGUGUUUUGUUUAGAGUGUGGUAUUAUCUGUGGGAUGGCUGGCUCAGCUGGAGCUGUUUUAGCCAUACCAGAAGCAUAAUGCUGUUAUACCAACUUUGAAUGGCUCAAAUUCACAGGCAACACCAAUCAAGCAUUACCAUACAUUAAAAAAUUGUGAUUAUGUAUAAAUCUGCUUUAUCAGUGAAAUACAGGUGAUGCAUAUUUGAACCAGAGUGUAUGAUGUCAAAGUCUAGCGUUAGACUAUUAGAUAACCCAUCAAUAUCUACUGCACGGUUAAGCAAACACCCCACAACAACUUAAGUUGAUAUUGCUGCUAAAGCAACAGGAAAUGAUCAUUACAAGCAAGAAUGGCAGAAAGAAGCCAGUGUCCACCCAGAGCAGUGCUGGUGAUGCAGUGGUCACUGUGGGUCCUUGCCGUAAAGUGCCGGUGAUCCUACGCUCCACAGUAGGGACUGUGCAACAUAACGGGACGUUUUGAGGAAGUCAGCCUUCUUAGCAGAAAAUGGAAUCCACAUCCUUGGGAGACUCUAAUUUUAGUUUAUAAUAAUAAAUUUUAUAACCUUUAAUAUCUCACUCAGUAGAUAACUUAUUAGUAAGUUGGAGAUAUAUGGAAUUUUACACCUUUAGGAACUACAGAAAAGUACGAAUUUUGAGGACUGCUAAUAGGAGGGAGUUAUUUGGCCACUGGCCUGUCUCUAUCCUGGGGGCUCCGGGCCGUGAGGUGUUUGCUCCCUUUGGUGCAUCUUUCUUGCUCUUGGCUGAGGAGGUGAGACAGGUCAGAGACUGCUCCCAUGGCAGAGACUGGAGAAGAACUGAGGGGUGGGGUCAAGCACGUUCUGUUCUGACUUGCACUUACUUCUUGUCACAACUUCUCAGAAAGUUUUUCCAUGGCUUCGGAAUAGGAAGAGCCAAGAGUUGUAUGUCAGGGAGCAGUCGAAGUAGGCAAAAUGGGACAAAAAUCGACAGAGGAGAGACUUCACGUUUCUCUGAGUUCUCUUCACAUUGACUCUGGAGUCAACUGCAUGUUUAAAUCCCGCCCCGUCAUGGAGCUGUGUGCCCCUAACAAGUUACUUAGCCUUGUUUGGCCUUAUCUCCUCAUCUGCAACAUGGGGAUGGUAACAAGAGGAUCCGUCUAAGGAGAUGUUCAUGGGAUCAAAUGCAAUAAACUGUGGGGGCACUGAAGUCGCUCUCAGGGGUCUCCUAGUUGUUUGGCGCCAUGUCUGGCACAUGGUAGGUGUUCAAUAGAUAUUUGAUAUUAAAUCAAUGAAUAAAUAGUAUAGUAGCUGAAACAGAAAACUCAUGAUCAAUAGAAGUUUCUUCCCUUUCCAGCCAGCUGGCAACGUUCGGUCAGACACCAGUAGGGUUCCUUUGACAGAUGUGAGGAGAGCCUGCCUAUCGUUCAAAACUCAGGGCGGGACGCAGCUGGCAGUGGGUAUCAGGCGUGAAGAAGACAGAUCCCAGCCCGUGGGGCUGGCCCCAGGCGGUACUGUUAAAAAUGUUCGUGGUUAUUUUUACGACAUCUUGAAUGAGUGUGUUUCACAUCUUUCAAAGCACUUUUUCACACCUACAAUUUUGCUUGUUUUUAGGAUGAGUCUGAAAGAAAAGCUGCUGGUGUGUCAUGGAUGCCAAUUAUGUGUCAGGUGCUAUAUACGUGUGUGUAUAUACCUACAAAUUACAUAUACAUGGAUCUGACAUAUAAUUUAUUUGUAUUGCCUGCCAGUCCUAUGAAGGCUGCACAGGACUGAAAGGAGGGAGCCUAGAGCUGUUCUGCCUUUAAUAACUUGGAGCAACUCACUCGAUGUUUAUGGAGAUGUUUCCUUAUCCUGAAUCCUAGUCUCACUGCUGACUGUAAAACUUUGGAAAAUAUACCUAACUGCUCUUUGCCUCUGUCCUCAUCUGCAGGAUGUGGAUAAUAGCACACAUCCCAUAAAGUAGUCCAUGCACUUGACACACAUUUAUUAAGUGCCUACUAUAUACCAGGCUUUGUCCUAGGAGCUUGGGGCACAUUGGUGAACAAAUGAGAUGGAGACCAUUACAAGGUUGAAUGGAGUUAAUAAGUGCAAAACAGUGCCUGUCAUAAAAAGAACAAUCAAUACGAGGUGUUACUAUCUUAAAAAUGAACAGAUAGCACUUUCUAUGUAGGUCAGCCUGGAUUUUAGCACAUGUAAAGGGCACUAUUAUAAUUUAGAAUUUUUUUCUUCUCACACAACCUGGCUUUUAAGAUAAGGAACUUGCUAACGAUUCAGGAGAGUGAGCUUUGAGUUGGCAAAAGAUCCAUGUGUCUGUAUUUUGCUCCCUCUUUCCUGGGCUGAUCUUUCUUGCUUGGCCUUAAUUGUAGGAGGCUGUCGGAGAAUGUGAUUCCCAGGGCAAAAGCGAUUUAUAGGGGAAUGAGAAAUACAUUGGUUUAAUAUCAUAUCUAUUAUAUCAGGCACAUAGUAAAUGUUUAAUAAUGAAUUGCUUCUGAUUAUGUCUUUUAGGAGUUCCUUAAAGGGAUCUAAGAAAAAAGCUUAAGUCAAACAAAUGACUUACCAGGGGUAGGACACUUUGGCGAUAUAGCUUCUUGUAGAUGGAGAUCAUUGAGACCUCCGUGACUGGCGUUCACCUGGGGCUACAGGAAGAACUUUCUCACGCAAAGAUGAAAGUCUUGGCAGCUUGGCACAUUGGCUAGAUUUGAGCAGGAAGUUGGGUGUAAUAAGUAAAAGAACUCUGUGUACACUUGGAAACUGGCUAUGAUUCCAAGAUUGGGAGAACCGUAGAGACCGAUGGAGACCAGCAGGUGGAGAGCAGGAUGAAGUUAACACAUCUGCCUUGAAGAACUUUGCUAUCACCUCACAGUGUGUUUAUUUAAAAACAAACAGAAAUGAAGACCGGCCUCAAACUCCAACUGGCUGUGGAGACAAAGUCAUUACAAACCCCUGUGAGCAAUGCCUUUGCAUGAAGCCCCUGACUGGAGUGUUAGAUAGCAAGACCUUCCCCUCUUGCAGGCAUCCAGUGCAGGAUGCCUGUGAAUGGGUUAAUGCAAAUGAGCCGCUGGAAUCAGAGUGGGUGGGACCACAACCCUGCAGCAGCGAUAAAGCAGCGAUUCCCAAGCCCUGUUAAAUGUUAGAACCACCAGCGAACUUAUUAAAAUACAAAUGUCAGACCCCACUCACGGAAUUAUUGUCUCUUGGGGUGAGGUACUCCUAAAUUUUUAGUCUGAAUUUUCUUCAUAUUUUAGUCUGAAGCACAGAGCAGUUUAGGGGCUACUGGGAUCGUGCAUCAAAAUGAUUUCUCUCUAUUAGCGUUUUCCCAAGUGUGGUCUGUAGUCCAGUUGCAUCUGAGUGGGAGGGGGAGGAAGAAAGGCCUCGUAAAGUAGAUUCCCGGGCUGCCCUCCAGUCCUGCUGAAUCUGCAUUCCAACAAAUGCUUCAGGUGAUUUUUCUUUUCAUUAAGACUUUAUUAUUUUUUUAGAGCAGUUUUAGGUUCACAGCAAAAUUGAGAGGAAGGUACAGAGAUUUCCCAUAUACCCCCUGCUCCCCCACAUGCACAGCCUCCUCCUUUAUCAUCAUUCCCACCAGAGUGGGACAUCUGUUACAACUGGUGAACCUGCACUGACACGUCAUUCUCACCCAAAGUCCAUAGUGUACCUUAGGGUUCACUCUUGGUUUUGCACAUUCUGUGGGUUGGGACAAAUGUCUGAUGAUGUGUAUCUACCAUUAUGGUAUCAUACAGAAUAGUUUCACUGCCCUAAAAAUGCUCUGUGCUCUGCCUCUUCUUCCCUCC
Non-coding RNA from Equus caballus (horse), 5143 nucleotides. Lineage: Eukaryota; Metazoa; Chordata; Mammalia; Perissodactyla; Equidae. The record is from RefSeq and is a predicted model, not a curated record.